UAGGGAAUCUUCGGCAAUGGACGAAAGUCUGACCGAGCAACGCCGCGUGAGUGAAGAAGGUUUUCGGAUCGUAAAACUCUGUUGGUAGAGAAGAACGUUGGUGAGAGUGGAAAGCUCAUCAAGUGACGGUAACUACCCAGAAAGGGACGGCUAACUACGUGCCAGCAGCCGCGGUAAUACGUAGGUCCCGAGCGUUGUCCGGAUUUAUUGGGCGUAAAGCGUGCGCAGGUGGUUUAUUAAGUCUGGUGUAAAAGGCAGUGGCUCAACCAUUGUAUGCAUUGGAAACUUGUAGACUUGAGUGCAGGAGAGGAGAGUGGAAUUCCAUGUGUAGCGGUGAAAUGCGUAGAUAUAUGGAGGAACACCGGUGGCGAAAGCGGCUCUCUGGCCUGUAACUGACACUGAGGCUCGAAAGCGUGGGGAGCAAACA
This 427-nucleotide ribosomal RNA is filed under the name uncultured bacterium. RNAcentral describes it as "partial 16S ribosomal RNA". It matches the Rfam family "Bacterial small subunit ribosomal RNA", at positions 355 to 774 of the family's 1533-position model. The record is from RNAcentral.